UACGGAAGGCAGCAGUGGGGAAUAUUGCACAAUGGGCGCAAGCCUGAUGCAGCCAUGCCGCGUGUAUGAAGAAGGCCUUCGGGUUGUAAAGUACUUUCAGUCGUGAGGAGGGUGUUAAGGUUAAUAACCUUAGCAAUUGACGUUAGCGACAGAAGAAGCACCGGCUAACUCCGUGCCAGCAGCCGCGGUAAUACGGAGGGUGCGAGCGUUAAUCGGAAUUACUGGGCGUAAAGGGCACGCAGGCGGUUAAUUAAGUUGGAUGUGAAAUCCCCGGGCUUAACCUGGGAAUGGCAUUCAAGACUGGUUAGCUAGAGUCUUGUAGAGGGGGUAGAAUUCCAUGUGUAGCGGUGAAAUGCGUAGAGAUGUGGAGGAAUACCGGUGGCGAAGGCGGCCCCUGGACAAAGACUGACGCUCAUGUGCGAAAGCGUGGGGAGCGAAACAGGGAUUAGAUA
This 452-nucleotide ribosomal RNA is filed under the name uncultured bacterium. RNAcentral's name for it is "bacterial SSU rRNA". It matches the Rfam family "Bacterial small subunit ribosomal RNA", at positions 340 to 784 of the family's 1533-position model. The record is from RNAcentral.